Molecule: non-coding RNA, 40 nt
Filed under: unclassified sequences
Source: RNAcentral
GAUUUUUGAAGGAUAAGAUUAAGACCUUAAUUCAUUUAUC